GUGAGGAAUAUUGCGAAUGGAGGCAACUCUGACGCAGCCAUGCCGCGUGCAGGAAGAAGGCGCUACGCGUUGUAAACUGCUUUUAACCGGGAAGAAACCCCAGGACGUGUCCUGGGUUGACGGUACCGGAGGAAUAAGCACCGGCUAACUUCGUGCCAGCAGCCGCGGUAAUACGAAGGGUGCAAGCGUUAUCCGGAUUCAUUGGGUUUAAAGGGUGCGUAGGCGGAGCGUUAAGUCAGUGGUGAAAUCCUGCAGCUUAACUGUAGACUUGCCAUUGAUACUGGCGCUCUUGAGUGCGCUUGAAGUGGGCGGAAUGUGCCGUGUAGCGGUGAAAUGCUUAGAUAUGGCACAGAACACCAAUUGCGAAGGCAGCUCACUAAGGCGAUACUGACGCUGAGGCACGAAAGCGUGGGGAUCGAACAGGAUUAGAAACCCGUGUAGUCC
This 444-nucleotide ribosomal RNA is filed under the name uncultured bacterium. RNAcentral's name for it is "partial 16S ribosomal RNA". It matches the Rfam family "Bacterial small subunit ribosomal RNA", at positions 354 to 796 of the family's 1533-position model. The record is from RNAcentral.